This 402-nucleotide ribosomal RNA is filed under the name bacterium. Its description in RNAcentral is "partial 16S ribosomal RNA". It matches the Rfam family "Bacterial small subunit ribosomal RNA", at positions 355 to 776 of the family's 1533-position model. The record is from RNAcentral.
UGGGGAAUUUUGCACAAUGGGGGAAACCCUGAUGCAGCGACACCGCGUGAUUUAGAAGGCCUUCGGGUUGUAAAAAUCUUUUCUAUGGGAAGAAAAUGACAGUACCAUAGGAAUAAGGACCGGCUAAUUACGUGCCAGCAGCCGCGGUAAUACGUAAGGUCCGAGCGUUGUCCGGAAUCAUUGGGCGUAAAGGGUACGUAGGCGGGUAAGCAAGUUAGAAGUGAAAUCCUAUAGCUCAACUAUAGUAAGCUUUUAAAACUGCUCAUCUUGAGGUAUGGAAGGGAAAGUGGAAUUCCUAGUGUAGCGGUGAAAUGCGCAGAUAUUAGGAGGAAUACCGGUGGCGAAGGCGACUUUCUGGCCAUAACCUGACGCUGAGGUACGAAAGCGUGGGUAGCAAACAGG